CAGGCAUGUUGUUCUCUUGGGACUAGAGACAGUUCUGCAAAGAGACACUCGGACUAUUGCUGCUUGCUGAUCCAUACUAUUGCCUUGUUUUUACACUAUUUCGGAGUGCUUGAGAGUAGGGUGGUUCUGCCUAGUGCCAGCUGCCCACAGAGGGUCUGGUGAGGACCGUGAAGAAGAUUUUUACACAGAUCCCUGCAUUAGCUGCACAACAAGAAUUGCAAGGAAAAACAUUUGUAAAAGUCAUAAAAUCAAGUAAAUCUGGGAGGUGCCUCCCUGUGACUCUCUGGC
Chelonia mydas (Green sea turtle) is the source of this 288-nucleotide long non-coding RNA. RefSeq lists it as uncharacterized. The transcript is spliced from 3 exons. Lineage: Eukaryota; Metazoa; Chordata; Testudines; Cheloniidae. The record is from RefSeq and is a predicted model, not a curated record.